This 337-nucleotide ribosomal RNA is filed under the name uncultured bacterium. RNAcentral's name for it is "bacterial SSU rRNA". It matches the Rfam family "Bacterial small subunit ribosomal RNA", at positions 29 to 351 of the family's 1533-position model. The record is from RNAcentral.
AACGAACGCUGGCGGCGUGGAUUAGGCAUGCAAGUCGAACGGGACACUUAGCUUUUUCGAGUGUUUAGUGGCGAAAGGGUGAGUAACGCGUGGGUAACCUACCCAGAGGAUAGGGAUAACCUGUCGAAAGACGGGCUAAUACCAAAUAAGACCACGUUUCCGUGAGGGAAUGAGGUCAAAGAUGGGGACCGCAAGGCCUGUCACCUUUGGAGGGGCCCGCGUCCUAUCAGCUAGUUGGUGAGGUAAUGGCUCACCAAGGCAAAGACGGGUAGCUGGCCUGAGAGGGUGGUCAGCCACAUCGGGACUGAGACACUGCCCGGACUCCUACGGGUGGCAG